This 468-nucleotide ribosomal RNA is filed under the name uncultured bacterium. RNAcentral's name for it is "partial 16S ribosomal RNA". It matches the Rfam family "Bacterial small subunit ribosomal RNA", at positions 28 to 507 of the family's 1533-position model. The record is from RNAcentral.
GACGAACGCUGGCGGCGUGCUUAACACAUGCAAGUCGAACGGAAAGGCCCUGCUUUUGUGGGGUGCUCGAGUGGCGAACGGGUGAGUAACACGUGAGUAACCUGCCCUUGACUUUGGGAUAACUUCAGGAAACUGGGGCUAAUACCGGCUAGGAGCUCCUGCUGCAUGGUGGGGGUUGGAAAGUUUCGGCGGUUGGGGAUGGACUCGCGGCUUAUCAGCUUGUUGGUGGGGUAGUGGCUUACCAAGGCUUUGACGGGUAGCCGGCCUGAGAGGGUGACCGGCCACAUAGGGACUGAGGUACGGCCCAGACUCCUACGGGAGGCAGCAGUGGGGAAUAGUGCACAAUGGGCGGAAGCCUGAUGCAGCAACGCCGCGUGCGGGAUGACGGCCUUCGGGUUGGAAACCGCUUUCGCCUGUGACGAAGCGUGAGUGACGGUAAUGGGUAAAGAAGCACCGGCUAACUACGUG